UACGUAGGGCGCAAGCGUUUAUCCGGAAUUAUUGGGCGUAAAAGAGCUCGUAGGCGGUUUGUCGCGUCUGCCGUGAAAGUCCGGGGCUCAACUCCGGAUCUGCGGCGGGUACGGGCAGACUAGAGUGAUGUAGGGGAGACUGGAAUUCCCGGUGUAGCGGUGAAAUGCGCAGAUAUCGGGAGGAACACCGGUGGCGAAGGCAGGUCUCUGGGCAUUAACUGACGCUGAGGAGCGAAAGCAUGGGGGAGCGAACAGG
This 256-nucleotide ribosomal RNA is filed under the name uncultured bacterium. RNAcentral describes it as "partial 16S ribosomal RNA". It matches the Rfam family "Bacterial small subunit ribosomal RNA", at positions 524 to 776 of the family's 1533-position model. The record is from RNAcentral.